CAGCCGCCGCGGUAAUACCAGCUUCUCGAGUGGUGGGGGCGAUUAUUGGGCCUAAAGCGUCCGUAGCCCGCUUGUUAAGUCCUCCGUUAAAUCCGGCGAUUCAAUCGCUGGACCGCGGAGGAUACUGGUAAGCUAGGGGGCGGAAGAGGCUGGCGGUAUUCUUAGGGUAGGGGCGAAAUCCUAUAAUCCUAGGAGGACCACCAGUGGCGAAGGCGGCCAGCUAGAACGCGCCCGACGGUGAGGGACGAAAGCUGGGGGAGCGAACCGGAUUAGACACCCGGGUAGUCCCAGCUGUAAACGAUGCGGGCCAGGUGUUGGGGCAGCUACGAGCUGCUCCAGUGCCGCAGAGAAGUUGUUAAGCCCGCCGCUUGGGAAGUACGGCCGCAAGGCUGAAACUUAAAGGAAUUGGCGGGGGAGCAC
This 420-nucleotide ribosomal RNA is filed under the name uncultured crenarchaeote. Its description in RNAcentral is "bacterial SSU rRNA". It matches the Rfam family "Archaeal small subunit ribosomal RNA", at positions 459 to 879 of the family's 1478-position model. The record is from RNAcentral. Lineage: Archaea; Thermoproteati; Thermoproteota.